This 422-nucleotide ribosomal RNA is filed under the name uncultured bacterium. RNAcentral describes it as "bacterial SSU rRNA". It matches the Rfam family "Bacterial small subunit ribosomal RNA", at positions 355 to 774 of the family's 1533-position model. The record is from RNAcentral.
UAAGGAAUAUUGGUCAAUGGACGCAAGUCUGAACCAGCCAUGCCGCGUGGAGGAUGAAGGUCCUCUGGAUUGUAAACUUCUUUUAUCUGGGACGAAACACUUCUUUUCUAAGAGGCCUGACGGUACCAGAUGAAUAAGCACCGGCUAACUCCGUGCCAGCAGCCGCGGUAAUACGGAGGGUGCAAGCGUUAUCCGGAUUCACUGGGUUUAAAGGGUGCGUAGGUGGGUAUGUAAGUCAGUGGUGAAAUCCCCGAGCUUAACUUGGGAACUACCAUUGAUACUAUAUAUCUUGAAUACCGUAGAGGUAAGCGGAAUAUGUCAUGUAGCGGUGAAAUGCUUAGAUAUGACAUGGAACACCAAUUGCGAAGGCAGCUUACUAUGCGGUGAUUGACACUGAGGCACGAAAGCGUGGGUAGCAAACA